AUUUAUUUUCUUAUGGAUAUAUACCCAGUAAUGGGAUAGCUGGAUAAAGUGGUAGUUCUACUUCUAGUUCUUUAAGGAGUCUCCACACUGUUCUCCAUAGAGGUUGUGCUGGUUUACAUUCCCAACAGCAGUGUAAAAGAGUUUCCUUUUCACUGCAUCCACAACAUCUAUU
Molecule: long non-coding RNA, 172 nt
Organism: Sapajus apella (tufted capuchin)
Lineage: Eukaryota; Metazoa; Chordata; Mammalia; Primates; Cebidae
Exons: 2
Source: RefSeq, a predicted model, not a curated record